CCCACAUACACCUCCCUCUACUGCCAAAAGAUAAUCCAAGGCUAAUCUAUUUUGGUAAACUGCUGUCCUCAUCCUGGUAUUAUGCUUCGCUAGAAGAUUGAGCGCUUGUGAUAUCUCGUUAGUAAUGAUCUCAACCACCGCCUGUAACCUUAUAAUGCGGUUGAGCAUAUAAAUAGGGGUUCUAUAACCAAAGGUACCAUCCUCUGCCCACGUGGCUGGCCCAUAAUAAUCUAUAAUACUCUGGGAAGGCCAUUCAUUAUCUUCCCAGGCACCUAUCUCUAUGGGUCCCCUUUUCUUCCUAUGAUUCACAUCAUACACUUUAACACCUAAAGUCUCACCUGUUUCAAUAGGCAACA
Non-coding RNA from Pelobates cultripes (western spadefoot toad), 356 nucleotides. The record is from the annotation of a GenBank genome assembly. Lineage: Eukaryota; Metazoa; Chordata; Amphibia; Anura; Pelobatidae.